This 455-nucleotide long non-coding RNA is filed under the name Homo sapiens (human). RNAcentral describes it as "HSALNT0306043". The record is from RNAcentral. Lineage: Eukaryota; Metazoa; Chordata; Mammalia; Primates; Hominidae.
AUUAAAGGCAGUUUUAUAAAACCUCCCUUAAAUUUACAGAAUAAAGCAAAUACACAGGAGGAAAUAUACCACCAAGGAUUAAAGAAGCUCAUGUCAGGACCAGGGAGUUUGCAGUCACAUAGAGUGACUCCCAGGGAAAUCAAAACAACCAGUAACCAUGGUGCUUGAAAUUUGGUGUUAUUACCUGGAGAGCACCUAUGCCUCACAAGAACAAGUAAAAUUUCUUUCAGUGGAUCAUACGAGUAGACAAUGCAUUUUUUUCCUUCCCCAAAACAUGCUCCAUGUAGGCAUCAAGAAACAGAGACAAAGAAUUUUCACUCUUUUUCUGUGCUAAAGUUGCCAAUCCGUCUAGCUGAUCAAGACAGCUAGGGCUAAGAAUCAAGUAAGUUUUUAGCCAAGAGUAGCAUUGAAAGAAAUAAAGAAAGAGAGAGAGAGAGAAAGAGAAGGAGAGCAAG